RNAcentral lists this long non-coding RNA (1462 nucleotides) under Homo sapiens (human). Its description in RNAcentral is "HSALNT0244152". The record is from RNAcentral. Lineage: Eukaryota; Metazoa; Chordata; Mammalia; Primates; Hominidae.
CAGCCCCCACCCCACCCGGUGGAAGUCCGAGGCCUGAGGGGGGGCAUCGAGCGGGGCGUGGGAGGCCCGCACGCUCCCCACCCCCAGCCGCGACCCGGAGGAGGGGAACGUGCCGGGAGGCUCGAGUCCCCCUCCCAGAGUGCUCUGGGCCGGAGAAACCUCCCGCAGGCUCCCGGGCCAGGCGUGCAAGGCCCCCUCUCCUGCCAGGGCCCAGGACGCUGCGGGCCCCAGCGGAGGGGAAGGGGACUAAGUAGGGGAAGAAGCUGUAAACAGCCCCAGCGUCCGGGCCUCGCCUCGAAGAGCCGCGCUUCCCAGGCCCAGCCGCGGGCCGCCCAGGCCCCCAGCCUGCCCCGGGGCCGCCGCGCCCGGGGUCCGGGACACCGGAGGGGAGUCGGGUCCCCUCCCCGGAGAGCUCCGGGAGCUCGCGGAGCGGCCCCAGGAGCAGAGAAGGGGGAAGUCAGGACUUACCUGUCAUUACUUUCUACGCCAUCUUGGAUCCACUUGUCAACGUCCCCACAAAGCAUUAUGGGCUCUCCCACGGAGCACCCUCUGCUGACUCUGCAGCCCCGCAGGCCUUCCUCGAACAGUCCAUGACAGGAAGCCAGGCUUCCUGGGGUCCUGAGUCAGCAGAGCAGGAAGGAAACAAAGGCCUCAGAACCGCAGAAGAGAAAGAAGGCAGCCUGAAGACAGAAGGCGACCCUCUGAAGACAGGUCUAGAGACUUAACGUAUGAUGUUCCUGGAGUCCUGUUGCCUGUAAGGGAAGCACAAACCCUGAGUUGCACUGUGUCCUCUGACCUGUCUGAUCCCAGGUACCUCUUCAGUAGAAAAAUUCAAUAAGGUUUCUGACACUUUCUACCUAUGGGCCAGUUACAUACAGAAGAGAAAACUGAAACUGAAAACUGGUUUGUCAUUUUUACAGAAAGUCACUGCAAAGAAGGAGAAUUCCAAGUGCAAAUGACUUGAGUACGUAAUUCUUUUGUGCCAUUUCUGUUACUAUAGGGUUAAUCCAGUAUGAAGAAAGUGACAAAGGGCAGCAUUUAUUUUUAUGGAUUCCACAUUAUAACCAAGUACUUGGCAACCUGCCCUCUCAUAUGUUGCGAAACAAAAAUGUUGCUUUCAGUGUGUUUUUAAUAGGCCAAGCAGUUUGUUUGAUCACAGUGGUCGGGUAUACACUCAGAGACGCCAGAACAUUCUCAUUGCGUUUUCACUGCUUUGGUUAACAUCUUGGUCUCCUGUCCGCACUCUAAAGAACCAUUUGAGGACUCAGGGGAGUCAUGUCCUGGGAGUGACUAUGGGUCCUAGGCCACAGCCCCCACUCUCUCAGCCUAAACCACUCAAAGGCACUCAGAUCCGGAUUUGCAAAAUAUUUUGCAAAACUUGCAAAAACCCCACCAGUUUUAGAUUUUGAAAUUGUUGGCACAGGCAACCGUCUACAAUCAUGAAAUUCUCAUGAGUGAGGUG